Long non-coding RNA from Chenopodium quinoa (quinoa), 2309 nucleotides. RefSeq lists it as uncharacterized. The transcript is spliced from 2 exons. The record is from RefSeq and is a predicted model, not a curated record. NCBI's taxonomy places the organism in Eukaryota, Viridiplantae, Streptophyta, Magnoliopsida, Caryophyllales, Amaranthaceae.
UUCACUUCACCUUUUCUAGCAGCCGUCUCAUACUCUCUCUCCUCUCUCUUACCCUCUCUCUUUCUCUCUUCUCGGAUUCUGCUUCUUUUAAUGGAUAUUGUUUCUCACUUAACUUUCUCUUCCACUUCUCCUUACCUCCAUUUUCUUUCUCCUUGAUCCAUUGAUGAACCUCCCUUCAAUUUCCCCUUUUCUGAUUUUUGAUUUGAUUUGAUUUAUUUUUUUGUGUGUUUUUUCGAUUUGAUUUUGUUAUUUUAUUGUUUGGGGUUGAUUAGGUGAGAAGGGAAGAAGGAUUAAGGAUUUGAGCUCGAUUUUGUAGAAGAGGUUUAAUUUGCGAUUAUCCGGCACCGAUAAGGCAAUUUUGUAGAAAGCCGGCAUCGAUAAGGCGAUUAUCCGCUAGAUCUCUGCAAAGCGGCGGCAGCGAUACUCCUCCUUGGGUUUCGCCUCUUUUCCUCUCCUCUUUUUCUUGCAGUCAUGUGGAUUUUUUUAAAAAAUUUUUGUUUGAUGAAUUAGGGUUUAAGUUAGUUACAGAUCUUGAAUUUCGUCUUUUAAUUUAUCGUAUUUUGGAUGAUUCAUUUCUUGUUGGUGUUUCGAUCUGUUUAUGGAAUUAGUUGAUCGAUGAUUUUAAUCGGUUUUGGCUGAUGGAUUAUUUAAUUUUGGUCAUUAUUUUGUUGUGAAUUGAGGUUUAAUUGUUGCGAAGAAUGAAAUUCUAGUUUGUUUUUCUGAUUUUAAUAUGAAUUGGUUGUUUAUUCCUAAGUAGUUGAUUGUUAAUUUGCAAAAUGUAUUGAAUAAUUAUUUAACUUGAUUUAUACUUGGGAUUCUACAAAAUGACAGUUGGUGUGCCUAUGAAAACGAGCAACAAAUUAGCCCAAUUUACAUUCUAUACUCAAAUAAGCAGUUUAUUUUGCUAGAAUAAUUUGGAUUAUAUACUCAAACAAAUUUUAGGUGAUGAUGGUGGUUUGAAGGCCGUUUAAUUUGGUCGUAGAAAUCAUCGGCCGCUUAACUCAAUGAAGUUUCAUUAGAGAUCUUUGAUAUUCUGUUAUUUUUUUACUUUUCUGAAAUUCAUGUUUUUGAUGCUAUGUAUCUUUAUGUGUCUAUGUUAUUGUGGCUUGUUUCCUUGAUUUCUGUCCUGUUAUCGAUCUAAAUUAUUGACGAGUAAACUGAAUAUAAUGGUGUGGACAGGAGUUUAGAUUAGUUUUUUUAGUACUUGAUUAUUAUAAUUUUAGGGUUUUUACUUGAUUUUAUUUCAGGAUUUGUGCAAUUGAUAUGUUAAGUAUUUUUGUAUCAAGUUCUGCUUGUUAAAUAUUAUAAAGAUAGAUUGCUGAAUAAAUGCCUGCAUUUUAUUGUUGCUGAAUAUAUGCUACAUUUUAAUCCUAUAACGUAUGCUACAUUUUAAUCCUAUAACAUAUGCUACAUUUUAAUCCUAUUAAGUUUGCUGGAUGUAUGCUGCGUUUUAAUCUUAUUAAGAUUGCUGAAUGUAUGCAUCAUUUUAAUCUUAUAGAGAUUGCUGAAUAUAUACAGUGACCCUGAUCGUUUAAUUUAGGUUCAUGUCAUUUGUUGGGUGCUGGUGUUAACGUUAGGGACGUCUGAUCAUUAAGGCUAGUCAUACUCAAAAUGUUCUUGGUAGUUUCCCCCUUUCUUCGAUUUUUGAUUUGACUUGAUGCUUUUUAUUUUUUUAUUUUUUUUCAAUUUUUGCGAUUUUCAUCUUGAUACUUUAUUGUUUGGAGUUGAUUAGGUGAAAAGGGAAGAAAGAUUAGGGAGUUGAGCUCAAUUGUGUAGAAGAAAUUUAAUUCCAUUAUCGCUCAGUGUGAUUCUCUUCGUUACAAGCUUCUUCGUUACAAGCUUCUUCGUUACAAGCUUCUUCGUUACAAGCUUCUCGGAGGUCUUGCUGCCAGAAGAUGGUAAGCUUGCGCCUCUCGUUCAGCGGCCAGCUCGGAAUUCAGUUGAAAAAUUGGAUGCCUUGCUGGUACAUACAUGGUCUUGCGGAUGAUUCCCAGGUGACUUUGUUCUGACCUGAUUGUAUCCUGCUUACACGUUGAUACCUAAUCGUUUUUUCUUAUUUUUUUUUUAAUUUUUUAAAUAUGGUUUUUUCUAUGAUGAUGCAGCUGCGCGCUAUCGUUGCUUAAAUGGUUAUGGUUGUUGCUGCAGUUGGAGCUGCGAUUACUCCCUUCUCUUGGAUGCUGCUGUUUCUCUUUAUUUACUUUUUUUUUUUUUUUUUUACAAUAUUAUUGAGAUGUAAAAUUGGAUUUAGUGCUUGAAAAUAUGUAAAAUUGGAUUUGGUCUUUGGUAAUAUGUAAAGAUUGGAUUUGAUA